UACGUAGGGGGCUAGCGUUGUCCGGAAUCAUUGGGCGUAAAGCGCGUGUAGGCGGCCCGGUAAGUCCGCUGUGAAAGUCGGGGGCUCAACCCUCGGAUGCCGGUGGAUACUGUCGGGCUCGAGUACGGAAGAGGCGAGUGGAAUUCCUGGUGUAGCGGUGGAAUGCGCAGAUAUCAGGAGGAACACCGAUGGCGAAGGCAGCUCGCUGGGACGGUACUGACGCUGAGGCGCGAAAGCGUGGGGAGCGAACAGG
Molecule: ribosomal RNA, 253 nt
Filed under: uncultured bacterium
Lineage: Bacteria
Description: partial 16S ribosomal RNA
Rfam family: Bacterial small subunit ribosomal RNA
Source: RNAcentral